This is a long non-coding RNA of Mus musculus (house mouse), 1358 nucleotides long. RefSeq annotates it as predicted gene, 31090. The record is from RefSeq and is a predicted model, not a curated record. Lineage: Eukaryota; Metazoa; Chordata; Mammalia; Rodentia; Muridae. The transcript has 2 exons.
UGGAAAUGACGCCACGGCACAGUCACGUGCUGCUGGGUUUUGUCUCAUUGUACUGUAUGGGGCUUUUCAGUAGUGACGAUUGGGGAAUGCUUUUGCCACGUUAGUCUACAGAAUCCGUGUAAACCCUGCAGUGAUGCAGCAGUAGUAAGCUUCAUACCUGUGCUGCAGAUGUGUCUGGAAUGAAAGGAAGAAAGGUGUUUGUGAUUUUGUGUUCUCUCUCUCUCUCUCCCCCCUCUCCUCCCCCCUCCCUCCCUCUCUCUCCCUCUGUCUCUCUCUCUGUCUGUCUGUUUGUGUGUGUGUGUGUGUGUGUCUAUACUUCAUGCUGCAGUGAGCAUGUGAAUGUCAGAGGGAAACCUCAGAUAGUGGGUCAUUCUCACUUUCCAUCUUGUUUGCAGCAGAGCCUCUGUCCCUUAUCACAUUGUACUUCAGGCUGCCUGGCCUGCAAGGCAGGAAUUCUCUGUCUUUGCCUUCCACCUCCCAUAGGAACACUAGGAGUACACAACUGUUUAGCUGUUAAGAAAAAGAAAGAUAUGAAAUAUGCAUGGAACUGGAUGGAGAUAGAAACAAACACCCUGUGUGAGGUAACGGAGGCCCAGGGAGACGAAGCCUGCGUGCAUCUUCUGAAUGUGGAUGCUAGUUUUUAUGCCCUGGAUGUGAAGGUUAGAUCUGUUGCUGAAGACACUGCAUAUUUGUGGCAUAGACAGUGGAGAAUUUGAACUGGUGCUCAACUGUAAGCUUCAGCCCUCCUAGUGGCAUCCAUAGUGCUGGAGUGCGGGACACAUGGCCUGAGUGCUGGACACAUGACCUGAGUGCUGGACACAUGGCCCGAGUGCUGAACACAUGGCCCGAGUGCUGUACACAUGACCUGAGUGCUGGACACAUGGCCCAAGUGCUGGGCACAUGGCCCAAGUGCUGUACACAUGGCCCGAGUGCUGGACACAUGGCCCAAGUGCUGGACACAUGACCUGAGUGCUGGACACAUGACCUCCUAGUGGCAUCCAUAGUGCUGGAGUGCUGGACACAUGGCCUGAGUGCUGGACACAUGGCCUGAGUGCUGGACACAUGACCUCCUAGUGGCAUCCAUAGUGCUGGAGUGCUGGACACAUGGCCUGAGUGCUGGACACAUGGCCUGAGUGCUGGACACAUGACCUCCUAGUGGCAUCCAUAGUGCUGGAGUGCUGGACACAUGGCCUGAGUGCUGGACACAUGGCCUGAGUGCUGGACACAUGGCCUGAGUGCUGGAUACAUGGCCUGAGUGCUGGACACAUGACCUCCUAGUGGCAUCCAUAGUGCUGGAGUGCUGGAGUGCUGGACACAUGGCCUGAGUGCUGGACACAUGGCCUGAGUGCUGGACACAU